AGCCUGGAUGGGAAAAUAUUGCUUUUUUUUUUUUUUCCUCACUUCACUGGGCUGAUGGCACUCUUGAUUUUUUUUGUCAGUGUCCUGUUUUGCUAAUGAGCUGCAUUUCCUGUUUCACAAACCAGCCUGAGAGCAUCAUGCCUGUCCGUUCUCUUGGUUUCACCAUCAAGGAAGCUAAAACUGACCUGGCACAAAGGAGGGGGCAUGUGGAUAAGAGGGAAUUGAAAUUUAGGUCCCUCUAACUGCGUUUCCAUGUGGCUGUCGUGGGAAAACUGCACCACUUCAGGAGAAGGAAGGGAGAGGUGGAAGGGAGAUCAACAGAAACCAGAAACCAACAUGGAUAACUGGCUCAGCUGCGUGUCCAUGCCUUCUGGCAGCCCAUCUCCCCUGGCCCCUUGUCGGAGUGACUUACAACAGCAAGACUGAAGACUGAUCCUAGGAGGUGGCAGAGGGCUGUUCAGUUCACGUUGGACCUAUGCUCUGCCAGCACUGCAGGUGAGAGAGUUCUUUAUCAGUCAGACACCCCUAGGUAGGUCCAUCAACUCCAUAAGAAAUUAAAGAUGAAGCAAAAGUUAAAAUUCUUGUAUGUAGUUAAGAUACGUUUUCCUGAAGGAUCAUUCAUCUUUUCAGUUCUUUUUGGUUUGUGCUGUUCUUGGAUUACCAACAGCCUAUAUAAAUGAGACUUAUUCAGUUGCUCUUAGUUUUUCAAAAUGUUUUAAGUUUCUUGUGGGACUGGGAAUUAGAAAUUGAAAACUAGGCACUUUGAAGCUUGAAGUUCUAGUCCAUUCUGGGAGGGCAAUGAAUGACGGCCAUCUGAUGGUUCUUCGUUUGACCCCUAUGAAACAAAUCUGGUGAUUCAGUCCAGUUUACUGUGAACACGUUCGAACCUCACAUUGCCUGCCUCCAGUGGCAGUAUUAGCCCCUCUUAUUGAUAAGCUUGGCUGAGGCCGUAUAGAUUGAAUGGACUGUGCACGUGGAAUUCUCUCGCUAACCAGCAGAAAGUUCUCCCAGGUACAUUGCUAGGCUUCCAUUUGAAAAACUUGCACUGCUUUCCAU
Molecule: long non-coding RNA, 1056 nt
Filed under: Crocodylus porosus (Australian saltwater crocodile)
Lineage: Eukaryota; Metazoa; Chordata; Crocodylia; Crocodylidae
Description: lncRNA (ENSCPRG00005017826.1)
Source: RNAcentral